ACAAAGAUACACUGACGUCACAGUUUAAAAUGACGUCAUAGUUUACUUCGUUACAUUAUUAUUCAGUGGAUUAUUAGCAUCAUGAGAUUCUGCACCAGUUGAUUGAUUAGCCUGUUUUCAUAUAUGUAGUCCUACAGCAAAUUACCACAGCAACAAGGUCAUAGACUACGACAAAUAGGACGCCACGGAUGUUCUAUGUAUAAUCACCAAUUAUGAAUUAUCCUGAAGAAAUGCGUCCGGUUACCCGGGCCCCCGAUUAUGGCAUCCUGACCAUGGUAUCCCUGUGUUGUUGUUUCUGCCCCUUAUCAAUAGUUGCUGUCAUCUAUUCGUGCAAAUCUCGCAGAGCCGCCAACGAAGGCCGUGUUGAAGACGCCAGACGGCUGGGCCAGACUGCGAAGAGGUGGGCCAUAGCGUCUAUCGUGACCUGCAUCGUUAUCCUGAUCGCCGGCGUCAUUUUCGGCAAGAUGAUCUCCGCCAAAAUGGAAUGACUGUAACCUAUUGUUGAGAUUUGCACCUAAGCCACCCCAACCCAAGCCACCCACCCUGUUAAAACAUAGGUUGUCACCUAUUGUUGCUGCCACAAUCCAACUCUACAUCAGGGCUGGGAGUGUUCCAGAGGCAUCCUCCAAGUAGCACGAAGUGACAAACCAACUGUGUAGUGGGUGUUCUGCUCAGCCAUUUUCUGGGGGGCCUUUUCAGAACUGGCUCCUGGACUAUAUGUUGGCCAAGACACUAAUGCUAUAUAUUUUGUUUUUCUUGCUUUAUAAGAUUACGUUGAUUUGUUUCACACAGUUGUUUCGUAACAGUUGAGUUGAUAUGUGCCUUAACGUAGUUCUGUCUCACCAUUGUCGUUUGUGAUAAAUACGCAGGUCACGGAUUGAUUGAUGGGUGGAUGGGCAAAUGAAUGGAAACACAUCACUAUUUUAUAUUAAAAUAAUAGAUUUAAAACUAGCAAGCCGCAACUUCAUUAUGAGAACUUAAUCUUAGGUGGUCUCAAGGACGGACACAGUGAUUAAUUGAGGUAGAGGGCAAACUAAAAAACACCGUUUCAACACACUGACAUUGUGCCAACAAAUGAAUUACUGCAUCAGUUUGUUUCCACAAAAGCAAUCUGAUUGAACUUAGAUGUGGGUGUGGGUGUAGGUGGGUGUGGGUAAUUCUUGGCAUGUUUCCAUCAGAGAACUGUUCAAGUCAUGGGCACAACCUCUAACUUCGCCAGAGUUCUGUACACGCCAGGUGAAAUCAGCUCUACUGGUCUACCAGUUAUAGAACAGGUGCCCGUUCCACGAAGCGAUCUUACCGCUAAGAUCACCUUAAGUGCAUCAAGUGGUUAUGCACUUAAGGAUAAGGGGCUGAUUUAAAUCAUAUUGUACAAAAUGUUAAUUGUUUCGUUUCAUAUAUAAAUUAGAUUCCAUCGAUUUGCUUUUUUGUGUGCAAUUCAUUCUUUGAUUUAUUUUAAACUGGAACGAGGAAUUGUAAUCUUCAACCAUCCUAGUAUUCUGAAAUAUAUUAUAAAUGUUCUUAUAAUCUUGAUUCAUAAUUUUUAAAUGCGCAUCGGUGGUUACAUUUCUCAAAGAGUCCCGCUGGUCUAGUGGAUAAGCUGCUGGACAAUCCAGCUGUUCAAAUCCCGCCAAAGCAGCCUGACACAUUCAUUCAGCUUUCCUAUCACCCUCUUCCUUUAAUGGCAUACAAUUCCUGAACAUGUCCCUGUGUCCUCAAAGGUGUCGGACCUGCGAAUGAGAAAAUCCUAUUUUGGGUAGAACCGGUAAGACGAAUAAUAAAUGUCCCAGGAAGUAGAAGGGUCUAAAUGAUUUGCAUGUUCUUCAUUGUCGUAUGAUCCGUGUUUUCUUUAACAACGAAGUUAGGAAGGGUAGGCCUAUCCGCACAGGAUAGUAGCUACGGUUGUUUUGUUUGUUUGCUUGUUGUUUGUUAUUUUUUAUGUGUUUUGUUUUAGGAUUACAUUCGGGGUAUCAUUUGUGCUUGUGCGUGUUUUAUUUUAUUUAUGAUGAAAAUUCGACUGUGUUGGGUCAUUUGUCAUUGGUUCAUUGAUAAUUUGGGUGGUGUACUUUUAAAUUAAAGUACUGUGAUACAGUAUCAGCAAUUUUUUGUCGUUAUUGGAAUGCUGUGAAUAUAUGUCAUACUAGUAUACUUGCAAUUGCCACGUUAUCAUUGUUACGGUGAGAACUGUUGUCACACUAUUACACAGUUUGUGAAAUAAAUUAUCUGCGAUAA
Molecule: long non-coding RNA, 2232 nt
Filed under: Gigantopelta aegis
Lineage: Eukaryota; Metazoa; Mollusca; Gastropoda; Neomphalida; Peltospiridae
Description: uncharacterized LOC121375844
Source: RNAcentral